GGAUUGCAGACUGCUUGGGAAAUUCGAUCUGACUGGCAUUCCUCCAGCCCCAAGGUAUGUUUCCAUCCUUAGAUAAUUUUCUUGAACAAGUUCACCUCAACAUUGCUGGGAAUUGACAUCCUUUGAUUCUUUGAUUAAACAGGGGAACCCCUCAAAUUGAGGUUACAUUUGAAGUUGAUGCCAAUGGUAUCCUAAAUGUCAAGGCUGAAGACAAGGGCACCGGUAAAUCUGAGAAGAUUACCAUUACAAAUGAUAAGGGUCGUCUGAGCCAAGAGGAAAUUGAGCGAAUGGUUCGUGAGGCAGAAGAGUUUGCUGAGGAGUACAAGAAAGUGAAGGAAAGGAUU
Molecule: unclassified non-coding RNA, 344 nt
Filed under: Hevea brasiliensis (rubber tree)
Lineage: Eukaryota; Viridiplantae; Streptophyta; Magnoliopsida; Malpighiales; Euphorbiaceae
Source: RNAcentral